GGUUGGAUUACUGGGCGAAUACUCCCAUGGCAGAUGACUUUGGCAUUGGUAGAGUCUAGAGAUGCAAAGCAAAAUGCUCUCUGCCAAAGGAGAUUUGCCCCGCAAUUCAUCC
This 112-nucleotide microRNA precursor is filed under the name Capsella rubella. RNAcentral's name for it is "mir-399 microRNA precursor family". It matches the Rfam family "mir-399 microRNA precursor family". From Rfam's summary of the family: mir-399 was identified in both Arabidopsis thaliana and Oryza sativa computationally and was later experimentally verified. mir-399 is thought to target mRNAs coding for a phosphatase transporter. The mature sequence is excised from the 3' arm of the hairpin. The record is from Rfam by way of RNAcentral. Lineage: Eukaryota; Viridiplantae; Streptophyta; Magnoliopsida; Brassicales; Brassicaceae.